CAACAGGGAUUGCCUUAGUAACUGCGAGUGAAGCGGCAAAAGCUCAAAUUUGAAAUCGGCGUCCUUUGCGGGCAUCGAGUUGUAAUUUGGAGGGAUAACUUCGGUACAGACUACAUCGUAAGUUCCUUGGAACAGGACGUCAUAGAGGGUGAGAAUCCCGUGUCUUGGUGUUUGGCUGUGCCAUGUGAAGUGUCUCCGACGAGUCGAGUUGUUUGGGAAUGCAGCUCAAAAUGGGUGGUAAAUUUCAUCUAAAGCUAAAUAUUGGCGAGAGACCGAUAGCGCACAAGUAGAGUGAUCGAAAGAUGAAAAGCACUUUGAAAAGAGAGUUAAAAAGUACGUG
RNAcentral lists this ribosomal RNA (340 nucleotides) under Cupulina ascophanoides. RNAcentral describes it as "eukaryotic LSU rRNA". It matches the Rfam family "Eukaryotic large subunit ribosomal RNA", at positions 66 to 401 of the family's 3401-position model. RNAcentral also lists the same sequence under 1 other name. Lineage: Eukaryota; Fungi; Ascomycota; Pezizomycetes; Pezizales; Pyronemataceae. The record is from RNAcentral.